AUUGAACGCUGGCGGCAGGCUUAACACAUGCAAGUCGAGCGGGGUGAUGGUGCUUGCACUAUCACUUAGCGGCGGACGGGUGAGUAAUGCUUAGGAAUCUGCCUAUUAGUGGGGGACAACAUCUCGAAAGGGAUGCUAAUACCGCAUACGUCCUACGGGAGAAAGCAGGGGAUCACUUGUGACCUUGCGCUAAUAGAUGAGCCUAAGUCGGAUUAGCUAGUUGGUGGGGUAAAGGCCUACCAAGGCGACGAUCUGUAGCGGGUCUGAGAGGAUGAUCCGCCACACUGGGACUGAGACACGGCCCAGACUCCUACGGGAGGCAGCAGUGGGGAAUAUUGGACAAUGGGGGGAACCCUGAUCCAGCCAUGCCGCGUGUGUGAAGAAGGCCUUAUGGUUGUAAAGCACUUUAAGCGAGGAGGAGGCUCUUUUGGUUAAUACUCUUGGAUAGUGGGCGUUACUCGCAGAAUAAGCACCGGCUAACUCUGUGCUAGCCGCCGCCGUAA
RNAcentral lists this ribosomal RNA (503 nucleotides) under uncultured bacterium. RNAcentral's name for it is "partial 16S ribosomal RNA". It matches the Rfam family "Bacterial small subunit ribosomal RNA", at positions 30 to 523 of the family's 1533-position model. The record is from RNAcentral.